GCCAGCAGCCGCGGUAAUACGUAGGGUGCAAGCNUUAAUCGGAAUUACUGGGCGUAAAGCGUGCGCAGGCGGUUGUGUAAGUCAGAUGUGAAAUCCCCGGGCUCAACCUGGGAAUUGCAUUUGAGACUGCACGGCUAGAGUGUGUCAGAGGGGGGUAGAAUUCCACGUGUAGCAGUGAAAUGCGUAGAUAUGUGGAGGAAUACCGAUGGCGAAGGCAGCCCCCUGGGAUAACACUGACGCUCAUGCACGAAAGCGUGGGGAGCAAACAGGAUUAGAUACCCUGGUAGUCCACGCCCUAAACGAUGUCUACUAGUUGUCGGGUCUUAAUUGACUUGGUAACGCAGCUAACGCGUGAAGUAGACCGCCUGGGGAGUACGGUCGCAAGAUUAUAAACUCAAAGGAAUUGAC
RNAcentral lists this ribosomal RNA (408 nucleotides) under uncultured bacterium. Its description in RNAcentral is "bacterial SSU rRNA". It matches the Rfam family "Bacterial small subunit ribosomal RNA", at positions 507 to 914 of the family's 1533-position model. The record is from RNAcentral.